UCUGUCAAAUUUUAAGAUUUCUGUCUCAAGCAAGACACAACGAACUUUCCUCUUCUUGCUUCAUCUUUAUUCUGUUUUGUCUUUGGAAAUCCUUCAACGAGAUCGAAGAUGAUGCACAUGACCUUAUAUUGGGGAAAAGACGUAACUCUCCUCAUCGACUCCUGGAAAACCGAUUCAUGGCUGAGUUACCUCCUCACUCUAGUCGCUUGCUUCCUCUUCUCUUCCUUUUACCAGUACAUGGAAGAUCGACGCCUCCGUUUCAAUACCCUCGCUUCCUCUAACCCAUCCCAGCCCUCCUCCACCGGCGCCGCCGUACC
Molecule: long non-coding RNA, 317 nt
Filed under: Theobroma cacao (cacao)
Lineage: Eukaryota; Viridiplantae; Streptophyta; Magnoliopsida; Malvales; Malvaceae
Description: long non-coding RNA (TCAC_LNC005107)
Source: RNAcentral